CUUUUCUUUCAUAAAAUAUCGACACACGGCUCAGUGAAUUUAAAUUUUAUUGGAUGCGUAUACAUAUACGCACAACAUUAUAUACAUAUUGCCAUUUAAAUUUAUGUAUAGGUAGUAUAUGAGAUACAAAUACAAAGAUAAUAAAAAAAGCUUGAUUUAUAGCAUUAAAUUAACGUUUUAUGGCGUUAUUGGUUAAAUAUUUAUCGCUUCUUUCGUAUUUUUGAACAUAACUGUCAUAUGAAAGCCGGUUGCAUUGAAUUACUUGCUCUUAGCAAGGUUUAUACCGCCGCAAUGGUAGGAGUUCUAACUAGGCACUAUCCUCUUGAUAAUCAUGCAAUGAAGUCAAAACUGCGUGAAAGAAGGUGAGGUGGAAAUAUCAAGGCAUUUUCCCUCCAGGGGCUUUCGUAUGACUAAGGUUGAAGCAUCUCGGUGGUCAUACCUUUUGCGAACUGGGGCGAAUUGGCUGGAAUUGAUAUUAGGUGUAUCAACAAAUUUUUGGCAAGCUCAACGCGCUUACUCGAUAUGCGACGGUCUUUUUGAUCCAUACUUAGGAGAGACGACAAUGACAUUAGAAAUGUUUCUAGCUUUGCAAGUUGGAUCAGUCGUGACUUCAUGAAUCCGCAUGAAUACUUAACACUAGAAAUACUUGUAAGAAAAGUGAAUAUAUAUAUGUACCUAUGUCGCGUGUAUAUAUGUAUAUAACAUAUCUGUUUCGCUUUGAACAUAACUGCAUUUAAAUAUAAAUAGUAAAAAUAUGCAAACGCAUUUAGAAUAGUUCGCUAACUUGUUUUAAAAUCGCAGAUUAUCUCUAAAUUUGUUUUAUGCAUUCUUUUACCCACAACUGGCGAUUUCUUGUUGCUACUUAUCAUAGCGCUCAUCUCUUCUAUAAAAUAUUUUUUUCAAGCACGUGGCGUUAAAAUGGCAAAAUGUGUAUUUGUGUAUUUCUACAAGUUUUUCGGGCACUCUAUUAAGUUAUUUAAAUAUACCGAUGUAUAGUAAUUUUUGGCAAUUUUAUUUCUUAUUUUUUGCACAUGAAUUAAUGUGCAUAUAAAAAGCGAACAACAUACGGAAAAAUAGUGCAUUAGUUAGAAACCGUAAAAGAGAUCACAACAGGCACGAACUUAACGAAUUUGUGUUGUAUAAAACUUUAAACGAAACAGCAAAAUACAAUAACAAAAUAUAAAAUGAAGUUUGCAUUGAGUAUCCUAACGAUCUGUGGAUUAAUUGCUCUCGCCUUCGCAGCACCAAUUGACGACUCGGCUAAUGCACGACUGUUGCGUUACGAUUUUGACAAUAUUGGAGUAGAUGGUUACGAUUUUAGGUAACAAAAGAAAAAAAGUAAUAACUACAAAUACAAUGUGAAUAAUGUGCAAUCGGCAUUACAACGAGUAGUGAAUCGAAAGUUACAUGAAUUUAUGAACAGUGAGAUUAAAAUGAAAAAAAAAAAAACAAAUAAUAAUAAUUAAAAUAUUCUGAAAAGAUAAUCACUCGUAUCGGCUCAAAUUCAUCAGCUGUUUUUUAAUAGCACAGCACAGUGAUGAUUAAGAUAAUAGAUAAGAAAAGUGCUCAAACACUUUAUGCUGUGACGUUAUAAAGCUUAAACACAUUGUGCAAUUCACCGCGAGUGGUAAUUGAAGUGGGGUGAAAAGUAAAUUCGUGUAAAAACACACAUGUUUUUGUGAAUUUUUUGGUGGCGACCCAGUUAAAAUCCCUUUGUUAAAACCAAUGGUACAUUAAAUUAUGACAUUCGAAGAAUGUUGGUCGAAAUUUGCGCAUUUUUGAGAUAUAUUAAAAAGUGGCAGCUUUAUUCGAUUUUAUCUCGGAAAAAAGUAUAAUUACGGUGCCUGGUAUAACUUGGUGCUGGAUCAUCUGAAAUCAAAAAAUCAAGGACAAUUUGUUAGAUAACAGUUUUUUCCAAUAGGGUUAACAGUUAAUGCCAAUAGGGUUUUUGAAAUGACCAUUUUUCAUUUUGUUUUAAUACUUCAUUGAGAAAAACGUGAUUUUUUGCAAAGUCUGUUUUUAAAAAAUACUAAGAAAUUAAAAAAUAACUCUCCCGUGUUACUACAUAAAUUCUGUACAGAAAUAGUGUUUAAAAUUUCAAUUGAUCGGUGUAGUAGUUUUGAAGCUUUGAUGACUACCAACUUUGAAAACUUUUGAAACUAGUGACGGUAUCGAACGUAAGGAGAGUGCAGAACUUAAGGAUAUUGGCGCAGAUACUAAAGCGCUCAGAGUAGACGGGUUUUCGACAUGGAUAGCACCCGAUGGUAUAAAAUAUACACUGCAUUAUGUUGCUGAUGAGACAGGCUUUCAUCCAUGGGGCGACCAUUUGCCGCAAUUUAAGCCACAAAUUAAAAAUGAAACUGAAGAAACUGAUUAACUUUUGGGCACACUAUCAAUUUAAACUAAUACUUUAAAAUGUCAGUUAUGUCAAUUUUUAAAUAAUAUAAUAAUAAUAAUAAUAGUAAUAAUAAACAACUUUACAGUAUUAAGCGGAAAAA
Molecule: non-coding RNA, 2498 nt
Organism: Bactrocera oleae (olive fruit fly)
Lineage: Eukaryota; Metazoa; Arthropoda; Insecta; Diptera; Tephritidae
Source: RefSeq, a predicted model, not a curated record